UUUUUUUUUUUUUUGAGAAUGUUAAAGCAAUUAUGUGGUAAUAACAUCUGUUAUGUAUGAGGAACCUUUAAUUUUUCUUUUUUCUUUUUGUAAUAGCUAGGGAGAAAAUAAGGAAGAAUAAUAAUUUUUUUUUUUUUUUUUUUUUAUUUACGGGGGAAGAAUAAAAUGUUGGUAUUCGGUAAUUGCAACUUUAGAGUUUAGACUUAAUUAAGUUGGAUUAUCCAAUUAAUAUGUGAUAUUAUUAGUGAACUUCGCGGCUAAAUUUGGAAGCCGGUAUAUAUAUUCCCUUCCAGAGUGGUGUCCCAUUUUGAAAUAAAAUGUGGACAUUCUUAUUUCGCCCACUUUCAUGUCGCAUUUUCACAUCUCAACCGUACAAUGUCUAAAACACAGUGUGUAGAUCAUUCAUGUAAAGUUUCAUCAAAUUUGAAGAUCAUUUGAGCUUCCGUAAUCGUGAUUUACACAAACGGUUCUGUUUGGACAGUUUUUGUUCUGUUGAUUUAUUUAAUCUAAUUCAGUACCCAAAUAAUCUUCAAAUUGGAUGAAACUUUGCAGGAAUGAUCUACACACUGUGUUUUAGACAUUGUACGGUUGAGAUGUGAAAAUACGACAUAAAAGUAAGCAAAAUAAGGUCUCCACUUUAAUUUUAAAACGAGAUAUCGCUCUGGAAUGAAACUAUAUAUAUAUACACAUGGUAGUUAAACCUCAACAAAUAUUAUAUGUUGUAGAUAUCACUUGCACCUAAUGUUGGGGAAUGAGUGGAGGAGGGUUAGUUUUUUUAUUUUUUUUAUUUUUAUUGAAACCAAACUUCAUUGAAACAUAGGGAAACAGGGGGAAACCAAUACAGAAGGAAUAAAAACCAAGAAACAAACGAAGACUAACUAAAAGACAGCAAACUCCCACACCCCCAUAACCCCACAGAUAGGAUCUAAGGAGGAGGCCGGGUUAGUUACAUAUGGUGGAAUACUGGCGGUAGAUAUGAUUCCUGCUGAGAAUAAAUAUCUCACCAAUGAUCAAUGAUAUUUCGAUCUUUCUCGAAUGACUCAAGUCAACGCCCAUGUCAAACAAAACGGUAGAAAAUCCAUAGAUAAACAUACACUUAUGAGUAAUUACGAUCCUUAAUUCUAAUCCCAAAUGUUAAAACUAUGUUAUUUAUCAUUAGGGUUAAUUCAAUAACAAUUCCUGCUUGCAUGAACUACUUAGGGAUUACAUAGAUCCAGAUGUGUAUACUGUGAAAAAAAAUAAUAAAAAAAUAAACUAAAACUGUAAAUACCAUAUGCGUUCACAUAAUUCAUCGAUCUCAGAUGUAUAGACGACCAAGCUAUGAAAUGUUAGUUUGAUCAUUUUGUCGUAAUUUGAUCAGCAUGCAGUUACGUGUGUGUGUGUAUAUAUGUAUACAUGCAUAUAUAUAUAUAUAUAUAUAUAUAUAGUACGUUGUUAAGUAGGAUUUCAGCGAAUUAUACCGCCAAAAUAUCAAAAAUAAUGAUCUAGAGUACAUAUAUACAGUUUAUAUAAAUUUAUUAUUAUUAUUUUAGUUCUAAUUAGCGUCUUAAUUACCUUCAUCCAUCAUACCGCUUGAAAUCUAUCUCCAAAGUUAGGCCAGUAUACAAGUAAUUAAGUUUAUGCAUCCAUAGAUCUAGCUAGCUAGACAGAUCGAACGACUGUACGACAGCAGCGAGAUAUAUAGAAAUUAAGGCAGCUAGCUAGAGAAGCUGGAAGAAAGCUGCAGAGAUCACCAACCUGAUUUCCAGUUGGAGAAAGAAGAUAAUCACGAUCUGGGGAGGCCAGCAGAGAUGAAAUUCUAGAGCUCGAAACCCUCUCAGCCUCAGCACCAACAGCACCAGCACCAGUUCCGUUGCUCAGAGCUUGACCAUGGCUAUUCACCAUCAUCUCCUUCAUCAUCAACCUCUUUCUGUUCUCUUUCUAGGAGUUAGCAGACUUGCCGGUGCUUCUGUCUGAAGUGAAAAUAGUUACAGCAAUACAGACAGAGACUUGUUUAUAUAUAAUUCUGAGAACCUAAUUGGUUUGCCCACGUCACUACGUAUGUAUGUGUAUACUUCGAAUUGAGCCCCGUCAUUUAUACAUCAGAACCCCACUCGAAGCUUUCAUCUUCCAUCGCUUGGACUAACGAGUACUACUACACUGUACUACGGCGUACCCUAAAUCCGGUGCUUCACCAAUCCAUCACCACCACCGUUUCUAUCAAAUCCUGAGCUAAAAUUAUUAGAGCUAGCACAGUGCGCCACAUGUUUAGAUAUUUGGGUUGGAAUUGGUGUGAAGCAUGAUAUGAUUGCUACGUUUAGGUCGUGGCACUCGGCAAUAUGGGCGAUGCAAGCUAUAGCUAACCAGGUCCGUGUUGCCAUAAAGAACUCUCUUUUUGAAUUGAUGGUUGUCACUGAAUUGUGAGAGGCAAACAAACGGAGGGGACACAUGUCGCAGCUACUAUCGUUCAAUGUUUUUUGUCAACUAUUCGCAACUUUUUCAUGGAAAACAGGAUAGGUGAGCUCAAACUUUAAAACAUUAUCUCCACAAAACUAUUAUUUUUUACGUUUUUAUCUAGAUUAUACGUUUUCUUAAAAGAUUUUUUAGACACAUAAACUAAUCAGUAAUAAUGUCAUAAUGUUUCCUCCUAUUUUUCUGGUCAUCAUUCAGAAUAAUUUAGGGUUUAACUUAAUUAGAAUCGGUAAAUUUUUAACCUGAGUAUGAGGUUCCAUAUACGUCUAAACUUUUAUGGUGAUUACUUUUUUUUGUUAAGAAGAGAACAAUGAAGGAGUACUUAGGUAACUUAUUCAAUUUCUUAUUUUUUGCUAUGUAAUUGAAUAGUUAAUUAAAAUUGAAGUGUAAUCUUGUAUUUCACACAAGCCUAGCCUCUUGUACUUCGUUUUUGUUUAUGGUAUCAAAACGGGUAAAGCAGCCCCACGUACACUAUUGGUGUCUUUCCAAAACGUUGCCUUGCCCAAAGCAAAGCGAAUAGUGGUGGCCUUCCGAGUGAUCCUAAUAUCGUAAGCCGUCCAAACUCCAAACAUGAGUCAUUUGCAAGCUAGCUAGCAUUUCCUUUAAAAAGAUAUCAACCAGAGUACGUAGGCUAGUGCUCAAUAUCAUUUCCUACUUUAGCGUCUCACGUGUGAGUCGCCACAUCGCCUUUAUCGUUUCUAAUAUGUUAGCAUGCACUUUCACACACGUCUGUGAUCGGGUAGGAGAGUUUCUUUGGAUUCAAGCCAGCUAAAAGAGUUGAUUACUCAACUUCUCAAUAGAACUUGUUAGUUUAACACUUAAGACGCUAGACAAUGUUUGUCGUUUUCCACCUUUUGGGUUGUGCUCCUACAAGGCUACGACAAAGAUUGUCACCACAUAUCAUCAACAAGUCUUAAAUCUUCGUGAAGCAAACUUUGUGGCUAACGUUUUAUCAAAGAUUACGGUAUUUGCACUUGGGAGUUGGGAUGUUAAUUUUUCUUAUGGUGUUGUUGUUGAUGUUAGUUUCGACCUUUUUAGCACCGGUUGCUUGAGAGACUUUUUCUUAUAGUUUGUUUAAUCAUUUCGUAUCAGACAAAAAACAAAAAUAACAAUCUUAGAUCGCCAUGGAGAAGCUGUAGGCUUGGCGCGUUGCUCGGAUUUGCUGUUUUGGGCCCUUAUGCUAGUUUAGUUUCUGUCCCCCUUUAUGGGCCAGUGUUUUGUUGUUCUCAUUGGACUUGGAACAAGGCCCAUUUUCAGGCCUAUAAUUUCUUCCAGACUCUUCGAUCGGGAUAUAUGAAUCGCUCUCAGCUUCUUGAUUACGGUAAAAGAAAGUAAGAAUUUAUUAUCAGAUUCGUCGAUUGGGUUACAGCUGCGGCAUUCCCUUAUUUGAUUUCAAUCUAAUUGGCACAUUUAUGAUUAAUUUACAGCUGGAGAUCGAAAGAAAGAAAGUUAACUGACUGAUACAUAGGAUCUGAGUUACUUCGAUCAACAGCUAGCUAUGCAUGAGAGGAAAGCAAUCGAACCACAGUAAUUACUUGUGGUAGAAUUUAAAAUCUCAAUUUGAAACUCAUAAAUGAACAAAUAAACCUUCCCCCAGAUAUUUGCAUAUACGUACAGGCUAGCACACCAUUCUAGAAUACCCGUGCAGCUGCAAAUUCCUCAGAGCCGAUGCACCGCCGUAUUGCCACCAAACCAACCCAUGCACGCCGGGGACUAAACGGUCAUUUUAACACACUUGCCCCUGCUAACUGAUUGGGGCAGCUUUGGUACUUGCGCAGUCUGUCACAAAAUACUACAUAUGGCUGCAUGCAGCUUCAAUUGCACCGGACCUUAAAAAUAACUCUUAUUUUGAACUGAGAAAAAUCUGGAAUUUGGACUGAUCGAGAUAUUGAAAUUUCAUCAAAUCAUGCAUGCAGUACCAAUAGAUUGAUACUAAUAUACAGUGGAAAACGAUUCGAUGAUUUUAAUAAAUCAAAUAAUGAAAUUAACCGAGAUGAUCAAAACCCUACAUAGCACAGUUCCACAUAUGAUCAUCACUGAUACAAAUAUAUACUUUGUUUUCCUUUUUCUCGAUCUGAACUAA
Molecule: long non-coding RNA, 4534 nt
Filed under: Fragaria vesca (wild strawberry)
Lineage: Eukaryota; Viridiplantae; Streptophyta; Magnoliopsida; Rosales; Rosaceae
Description: long non-coding RNA (FVES_LNC000881)
Source: RNAcentral